UACGUAGGGUGCGAGCGUUGUCCGGAAUUAUUGGGCGUAAAGGGCUCGUAGGCGGUUUGUCACGUCGGGAGUGAAAACUCGGGGCUCAACCCCGAGCCUGCUUCCGAUACGGGCAGACUGGAGGUAUGCAGGGGAGAACGGAAUUCCUGGUGUAGCGGUGAAAUGCGCAGAUAUCGGGAGGAACACCAGUGGCGAAGGCGACUACCUGGCCUGUUCUUGACGCUGAGGCGCGAAAGCUAGGGGAGCAAACGGG
RNAcentral lists this ribosomal RNA (253 nucleotides) under uncultured bacterium. RNAcentral describes it as "partial 16S ribosomal RNA". It matches the Rfam family "Bacterial small subunit ribosomal RNA", at positions 524 to 776 of the family's 1533-position model. The record is from RNAcentral.